Molecule: non-coding RNA, 205 nt
Organism: Caenorhabditis elegans
Lineage: Eukaryota; Metazoa; Nematoda; Chromadorea; Rhabditida; Rhabditidae
Source: Ensembl
UUCUAUUUAUAUGCAAAAUUCAUUCGAGACACCAUACCAAAAGCUCCCGUGGGAGCUGGCCUUCUUAUGUCGGUCGGUUCAUGGUCCGUAGGGAGUGUCGGAAGGACGGAAGACCACGAAGGAAACGUCUUUGUUUGUACGGAUCGCUUAUUUAUUAUGCAGAUUGAAUAUUGGCCACCGCUUCGUUCUUCAUCUGUGUUCGGCU